CCCCCGCACCGUCCACUACCUCCUCUUCCCCGACAGCGGCCCUCUAGCCAUGGGGCUCGUGGAUCCAGCCUUGAUGGUCGUGGAUCUGGCGAGCUCGCCAGCAGGCCAUCCUUCUCCAUGUGCGUGUGGUGGCUCAACCUCGACUGGUGGCGGCUUUGCAUGGAUCCGGUGUGGGCGGUGGCGUGGCUUCAGAUCUAGCAUCGGGGAGCACGUAGGGGUGGCUGGCAGUAGCGUUGGAAACGGGCUUGCCAAUGGGCUUAGAAAUGGGCUCUCCGAUGGGCUCUGAGUUCUAUUUUGUUUUUUAAUUCAUUAACCGAGGCGGGCAGUGCAACCGCCUCGGUUAAGUGUUGACACCAGAAGUGGCAAACGGUUAUACCGCAAGCGUACGGUAGUCAAUGUAGCCUUCACCGGGAGUAUUCCAGGUAUCGUGAUUUCCAUGGGGAACGCGAAGUGAAUUAACUAGGCUUUAGAUCGUUAGGUGAUGAUCAAAGGGUCCAGGAUAAUGGGGUAGAGAGGUCUAACUAGUAUUAAUGCCUGGUCUUUGGUAAUUAAGUAUAGUCAAGGUUUUUCACCUAACUCUUUACUGAGGGCGAUACCCGAAAAGGAGGAUUGAGUUAACGAGGUUUUUCACCUCCCCGUCUCCUAAG
Molecule: long non-coding RNA, 647 nt
Filed under: Sorghum bicolor (sorghum)
Lineage: Eukaryota; Viridiplantae; Streptophyta; Magnoliopsida; Poales; Poaceae
Description: long non-coding RNA (SBIC_LNC008128)
Source: RNAcentral